UGCGGGAUGGAGCNNUGGGCUCAUAACCCAAAGGUCGUCGGUUCAAGUCCGGCUCCCGCUACAA
This 64-nucleotide transfer RNA is filed under the name Prolixibacteraceae bacterium. RNAcentral describes it as "tRNA-Met". It matches the Rfam family "tRNA". Rfam says of the family: Transfer RNA (tRNA) molecules are approximately 80 nucleotides in length. Their secondary structure includes four short double-helical elements and three loops (D, anti-codon, and T loops). Further hydrogen bonds mediate the characteristic L-shaped molecular structure. tRNAs have two regions of fundamental functional importance: the anti-codon, which is responsible for specific mRNA codon recognition, and the 3' end, to which the tRNAs corresponding amino acid is attached (by aminoacyl-tRNA synthetases). tRNAs cope with the degeneracy of the genetic code in two manners: having more than one tRNA (with a specific anti-codon) for a particular amino acid; and 'wobble' base-pairing, i.e. permitting non-standard base-pairing at the 3rd anti-codon position. Lineage: Bacteria; Pseudomonadati; Bacteroidota; Bacteroidia; Marinilabiliales; Prolixibacteraceae. The record is from RNAcentral.